UCUGUUGAAACAAAAUUCCAGAUUAAAAAGUCAAAUAAAAAGGCAGAGCAGAACUAGCAUAAAUAUGCACAUAUUCCAUGAAAAAGCUAAGGUGUCAUAAAAAUGAAUGCAUAUUAUUAAACGCAAUCAAUCAAGUUAAUUACUUGUUAAUGCUAGGAAUUUAAUGUGUGUUUUUAGUUGUUUAGGUAAGCAAAAAUACCAAGGGGAAGAAAGAAAGCAUGGCCCAAUGCCAUAACAAUGAAUACUUGAAGUCAAUGUAUUGGAAUAAGCAUGGAUUACCCUUUCGAUACAUAGCAUCAUGGCGCUGAAAUCACGAAGCCAUAGAUGGCACUGGAUGCACAAUCCGGAAAUAGCAUUCUGACUACCUUGGAGGUGGAAGAAGGAGAAUCUUUCAUCAUCCCUUUUCAUCUCAUGGAGUUUCUUCUUUUCCUUUUUCUUUGUUUCUAGGAGUUCAGGUAAAGUUCUUCACCAAAGGAAUUUGGGGUUAUAACUAAUUAGGAAAUUUGGCCUUCAACAAGGAAAUUGGAAGUAAGAUAACGAAAAAAGGGGCAAGCUUUACAUGGACUCACACAAUUUGAUCAGGUUAAGUUAUCCCUCUUGCAAGAGAUAACGAUGAAAGUGUCAACAAAUACAGGUAAUUCAUACUUUUUACUUCUGUAUGAACCCAAAUGAAAAUAAUUUAUAUUUUCUUAUUUACAUUACAAUCUAGUCCUCCAUUGGUUACACUAAUUUCUUCUUAGACUACUGAAUUUUUGCAAUCUGUUUCCCUUCCUUAUUUUUUUAGCAAUAUCAGUAACAAAAUCUACUAUAACAGAGUAACAAAUAAUUGCUUAUUUAUCAAAAGCUCUCCCACAAAGUUGACAAAAACAAGCUUGCCAUUCCAAUUAAUGGAAGAAAAGACCCAAAAAAAUGGACCUAGAACUCCAAAAUUGUUUGCAGACACCACAAAAUGUGAGUUGUUCUUAUUAUCAUUUUGAUUUGCCUUCUCCUCCAUCAUAACUACAGAACUAAGAUUAUCAUCACAAUCAACGCUGCUAUUGCUUUUGAAGCCUUGUCACAAAGAGGGGGAAAAGAAAUGAAUGUAACGAAUUUGGAAGUACUAUCUCUUGAAAUCUGCUAGCCAAUCGUCACAACACAGACAGAUUUAAAGUUCAGCCACUAUUUUGAUCAACACCACACCACCACCAACAUUCAACCAAAUAGCAGCUCAAAAUUAACUACCAAGACCAACAUUUAAAAAAAAAAAA
Molecule: long non-coding RNA, 1247 nt
Organism: Glycine soja
Lineage: Eukaryota; Viridiplantae; Streptophyta; Magnoliopsida; Fabales; Fabaceae
Exons: 2
Source: RefSeq, a predicted model, not a curated record